Podarcis lilfordi (Lilford's wall lizard) is the source of this 4858-nucleotide non-coding RNA. Lineage: Eukaryota; Metazoa; Chordata; Lepidosauria; Squamata; Lacertidae. The record is from the annotation of a GenBank genome assembly.
UGGAGGCCUCCAGACAUUGUGGGUUCCAAUGCCCAUCUCCACUGACAACAACAACAACAACAACAUUAUUUCUACCCUGCCCAUUUGCCUGGAGCUAAUGCAAAUUGCAGUCCGCAAUAUCUGCACCUCUGGAAAUUUCCAAACCAUCUUCAGAGGCAGCACCACUUAUAACGCCUUGAAAUAAUUCAAGCUAGAGGUUACCGGAACGUAAACUUUAGACUAUUCUUGUUCAGAUAGAGGCGCAGCUAGGCCAACAAGUGUUGAUGGAAAGCAUUCUAUGCCCACAAGGCCAUCUGAGCAUCAAGCGACAGCAAUGGACCCAUAAAUACCCCCAAACUGUGUACCUGCUCCUUCAGAGGGAGUAUAACCCCAUCAAGAGCAGGCCACCUCCCACCCAUCUGGCCAAGGGAACCACCCAGUAGCAGUGACUCAGUCUUAUCUGGGUUGAGCUUUUUGGCUUUCAUCCAUUCUAUUUCAGAAUUUAAUAUUAACCAGUUGUCAUCAACUGUGCCUGAACAGAUUGUCACAAUACAUAGCCAUGUGAAACUAUUUGUGGGGAGGAAUUACUAUCUGCUGUAAGUCUCUGAAGCUGUCUAUAGAUUGAAGCCCCAUUAAAAUGGAUGAAAGGAUAGGCUUUGCAUACAAAUUAUGAAUGCAUUUUUGUCUCUGAAGGAUUGGAUUUGGCAGGGAUUUUCACCCACUCCUGUGCCAAAUAGGAUUGGCACCUGAAAGAUAAAUCAUCCACAACGUGAUUCUGUAAAAAUCAGGUAAUUGCAAUGCAAAAUUCCCGAGUUUCAGUGCAGACAUCUUUUCAAAGGAAUAAUGCAUUCUGCUGCCGAUCGUCUGUUUAUGUUAAGGCUCAGGUUGUUACAUCAUACUGAUCAUAAAAAAUGUCUAGCAUUAUCUGGAAUUACAACUGGCAGAAUCAGUUCGGCUACAACCCAAAGGUGUCAGGUGAGAGACUGCCUUAUUCAAAGCAGAAGGAAUGACGCCGGGGGGGGGGGGUCUUUUCCUCACGGUAACAAUGAGAAGAAAAUCAGAGAGAAAGAGAGUUUUAGACCCAAUUCUGAGCUGUUGUAUAUCUUUGCCCAGUUUUAGGGAGCAUGUUAAAUUGUUAAGAUAGUGAAUCCUUUGGAUGAAAGCCCUUUUCUGACCCUCCCUUGAUCCUCUUAUGGGGCCCUAUCAGUUUUGAAGCACCAACACUGAGCUAGGACAUUAAUGGUUUCCGCAGUAGCUGCCCAGGGACCCUCUGAUUUCAGCCCUAGUGUACUCAGCGUAUUUUUCACUCCAUAAGACGCACUUUUUCCUUCCUAAAAAGUAAGGGGAAAUGUCUGUGCGUCUUAUGGAGUGAAUGCAUGGUCACUGGAGCCGAAUUGCCCAGGGGCAAAAUGCAGAUCAUGCUUUUUUUUUGGAAAGAGGGAAGUGGGUGUUGAAACAAAGCCGCUGAUCGUUUGCCGAUUGGGGAGAGAGAUAAGGGACACUAGAGAUAAAGGAGGCUGCCUUUAAAGGGGGGAGGUAAAGACAGCAAACUUGCAAAGGGGGGAAACAGGAAGACUAAAGCAAUAAGGAGAGAAAUUAGAAGAAAAGGAGGAGAAAAAACUGCUCCUGCUAAGGAAAAGACACUAGGGCAAACAAGAAGAAAGGGAGUGUUGAAAGGAAACAGCUGAUCGGUGGGAUCUGAAGAGAGAUAAGGGAUGCUAGCAGAGGCUGCCUGGGAGGGGGGAGGUAAAACCCCUUCAGGAUUUUCACAUUGGGUCACCUCAAAUUCACCAUCAGAUCACAUAGCAUGUCCAUGGCUACAGCCUGCACCAAGAAAAAUCAUGCACCCACUGUUUCCUGGGGCUGCAAUGGUGCAAAAACAUGGUCACAAAGCAUGGAUCCACAUGGAUCCUCAGGAUUUUUGCAUUCGGUCACCCCAAAUUCACCAUCAGAUUACAUGUCUAUGGCCACAGCAUGAACCACAAAAAUCAUACAUCCACUGUUUCGUUCAGAAUAUUUUUUUCUUGUUUUCCUCCUCUAAAAACUAGGUGCGUCUUAUGGUCAGGUGUGUCUUGUGGGGUGAAAAAUAUGUUAGGUGCUUUGUUCCUACUUACAUAGCCUCCAAAUACCCUCUCUUAGUUUUUCUAGAUACUCAUUUUUUGAGUUGCUUUACUUCUGGGGAGGGACUUUGACCAGUGACCAGCACAUCACAGUGCUGGUUGCUAGAAACUGGAAAUAAUAAUCCUCGAAAACUUCUUUUUUUAAAAGCUAGCAAUUAAAUAAUUCCACUAUGAGGCCUAAUCAUGCCAGUAUUAUAAAUGUUUUCAACAAGAAACUGGGCAGUUGCCCAUCCACAUGCCUGCCCAAGCUGAGUUCUUAAAAUGUGUGCCGGGCCCUUUGUGCACAGUAUUUGCAAACAUAAUAGUAUCACUUUCCUACAUCUUUGGGUCAUAGCUCACCAAGGUGUAAGCACAGGUUAGGAAACCUUUUAGCUAUGAUGAUCGUGUGGGACCCUGCUUGGGUAAUUGCAAGAACUCAUGGAUCUACUUCAACAUUCAGUCUCAAUGCUUCUGAGAGAAUGGAUAUUCUGGGUGGGAUUCAGCAUCACACUCUUCCAGUCAUUCUGCUUGUGCAAGCAUUUCAGCUUGCCAGAUAGAAAGAUCACCCUCUCUUCCCCCCUGCAUUGUGCUUUGAGGGUUUCCACAAACCCCACAGAACCCAUUGGAAGCAGAUGGGGUGAGAAGAAGGGGAGAACACCCCAUGCACAAGCAAAAGUCCUUGCAUUGGGCUCCCUCAGAAGGGGCUGCUUAGGUAAAUCCACCCUACAACACACCAAAUCCUAUACACAGGUUCUUUCAUUAUGGCUUUUAAAAUAUAUAUAACUAGCAGCUAAGCAUCCACAGUUUAUUUUGCACUUUGUGGGCAAUUAAAUAUAGAAGUACCAAGCUUGAUGAGUAGGCAUAAUAUAUACACCUUUGAACACAGAAUGAGGCUCAGUUCUCAUUUUUCUUUUUGACAUCAAAAAGGCAUCAUCGGAAAUUAGGUUGUGACUAUAGAAAAUGUUCCUUCUCGGAUAUUAACUGUUCAGUGAAUGAACUGUUCCUGGGAAAGAUGAAUUCCUUCCAGCUCCAGAGGGGAAGAGUCACCUUUACAAGGGAACUUUUAGAGAUCUGAGAAGCACAAUUUCCCACUUCUAAAGGAAGAAUGAUAAGGGUUUGUCUAUGAAAAUGAGGUGUGCGGUGAAUUUUAUGCAUUAUGUUGUGAUCCAAGACUUCAUCAAACAAGGAGUGUAUUCCAAUUCACUGGUGUUUUUAUUUGCAUAUCUCCAUGUACUGAAUUUUCAUGUUAAGGCCCAUUAGUUGGGGGGGGGGUCUGGUACCUGUUUUUCAAACUAAUUGCUUUCAUUGUCCCUGACAAUGAUGAAAAAACAUGCAAGUACUAGUUCUAAUCUUGGAAAAUGGGAUGAGCCACUGAGAUAAAGCUUUCACUUUUCCUGGCCAGACUAACUGGUCAUUAUUGGCAUGGUAGUCAUAUGAUGUGAGACACAGACCAAAAAGCUAGCUUUCCUCACCCAAAUACCAAACAUUAGAGUCACUAGACCCCACUAGCAAACCGUAUCCAGUUAUAUGUGGUUCUUGUACAACACAGUCCUUCAUCCAAAUGGGGCCCCAUUAGACUCUGGCCAAAGGGGUGCAUCUACACACAAGGGAAAAAUGCUAUAAAUAAGUCAGAAAUUAAAUUGUUAUAACAAAAGGGGGGAAAUGCUAUGUAAAAUCACAUAGAAAAGUUUUGUGCUCCACAGCUCCAUCUGGUAUUGCAUGUUUAGAAUGUAUUUAAAAUGCUGUUUUUUGACUAAUGUAGCUGAGUCCCAAGUUUUAUACCAACAGAGGACCUUCUUGGUAGUGGCACCCUCCCUGUGGAAUGCCCUCCCAUCAGAUGUCAAGGAAACAAACAACUAUCUGACUUUUAGAAGACAUCUGAAGGCAACCUGUUUAGGGAAGUUUUUUAUGUUUGAUGUUUUAUUGUGCUUUUAAUAUUCUGUUCGGAGCCACCAAGAGUGGCUGGGGAAACCCAGCCAGAUAGGUGGGGUAUAAAUAAUUUGUUGUUGUUGUUAUACAGGAAGACCUGGAUACAGGAAUUUAGAUUUUCCUUUAGCCAAUCAGGGCCUAGGGCCCAUUUCUCCAGUCCUGGAAGUUGUAUGUGCGAGAAGACCAUGCAGCUACUAAGAGAGUUUCUGCACAGUCACUUGUGACCUUGAGGCAAUCUCCACACAGAUGGUAUACUGGACUAAUUAAAUAGAACCUUUCUUCCUCAGGAAGACUGCAUCCAGAAGCCGAAGUGGAAAGCUAUUAAAAAGAACCAAAGAAACCAGGAUUUCUUUGUAGGUGCACUGCCUGCUUGUUUGUGGGCCCAAUCUAAAGUGCUGGCUUUGGUAUUUAAAGCCUUAAAUGGUUUGGGCCAGGUUAUCUGAAAGACCACCUGCACCUGUACAAAACUGCCUAAGCUGUAAGAUAAGGCUCUGAGGUCCUGCCCUCCAGUCCAUCAGUGAGAGAUGUUCGAUUGAAUGACUGGAUGCAGUGCAUUUUCAAUGCUAUUCCCAUAUUUAUGGAAUGCCCUUCCUCACAAAACACAUUUGGCCUGUCAAAGGUGGUCUUAUGAUGUGCUUAUAUCAAGCAACCUUUUUAUGAAUUUUCACAUAUCGGUGAAAGUUUCCUGCUAAUUGUUAUGCUUAUUGUGUAACAUGUGCCUUGUGUAAUAUGUGUGAAGGCAAUGAGUGGCCCUGAAAGGCAGCUUGUAAAUCUAUAUAAUUAAUUAAGAACAAAGCACUUUCUAGAGAACGCCCCAAUUUUUUAAAAAAAUAAUAUUUAUUAAUAAUCUC